Molecule: unclassified non-coding RNA, 262 nt
Filed under: plant metagenome
Description: partial contains small subunit ribosomal RNA, internal transcribed spacer 1, and 5.8S ribosomal RNA
Source: RNAcentral
UCUCCGUUGGUGAACCAGCGGAGGGAUCAUUACCGAGUUUACAACUCACAACCCCCUAUGUAAACGUUACCAAACUGUUGCCUCGGCGGGAAAUUCAUGCCCCGGGCGCGUCGCAGCCCCGGACCACGUCGCCCGCCUGAGGACCAACCAAAACUCUUUUGUAUGUCCCUCGCGGACUUUUAUAAUUCUGAACCAUCUCGGCGCCCCUAGCGGGCGUUUCGAAAAUGAAUCAAAACUUUCAACAACGGAUCUCUUGGUUCUG